AUACGUAGGGGGCGAGCGUUGUCCGGAAUGAUUGGGCGUAAAGGGCGCGUAGGCGGCCCGGUAAGUCUGGAGUGAAAGUCCUGUUUUUAAGAUGGGAAUUGCUUUGGAUACUGUCGGGCUUGAGUGCAGGAGAGGUAAGUGGAAUUCCCAGUGUAGCGGUGAAAUGCGUAGAGAUUGGGAGGAACACCAGUGGCGAAGGCGGCUUACUGGACUGUAACUGACGCUGAGGCGCGAAAGUGUGGGGAGCAAACAGGAUUAGAUACCCUGGUAGUCCACACUGUAAACGAUGAAUGCUAGGUGUAGGGGGUAUCGACCCCUUCUGUGCCGCAGUCAACACAAUAAGCAUUCCGCCUGGGGAGUACGGCCGCAAGGUUGAAACUCAAAUGAAUUGACGGGG
RNAcentral lists this ribosomal RNA (397 nucleotides) under uncultured bacterium. Its description in RNAcentral is "partial 16S ribosomal RNA". It matches the Rfam family "Bacterial small subunit ribosomal RNA", at positions 523 to 918 of the family's 1533-position model. The record is from RNAcentral.